Molecule: long non-coding RNA, 1173 nt
Organism: Camelus dromedarius (Arabian camel)
Lineage: Eukaryota; Metazoa; Chordata; Mammalia; Artiodactyla; Camelidae
Exons: 6
Source: RefSeq, a predicted model, not a curated record
AUAUAAGUUGUGAACACUUUGAAAACGGUUUCAUUACAGAAAUUUCAGUAGGGAAGAUAAACAGUUUAUCUUAUUUAUGCCUCUCUUUUAAAGUAACACAGAAACAAGGCAGAAAAGGCAGAGGAUGAUUUCUGUUAUUCCUCUCGGCUUGCAGGUGCCCUCACAUCCAGUGGCAUCCAUCCAGACACCAACACUGACACUGGCCAUGCUCAGAACUACCUCAGCCCUGAAGACACAAGUGACAAAUAGAAGGGGGCCGCGCCCUGUUACAGCAGGUGCUCUCACUUUGUGGGUCCUUAUGUAACUGCCCGGUGUUAAUCAGGAUCGCCCGUUCUACAUUGUGUGGCGCUGCUGCGGUGUCUCCUAGUUAUUUGUUUCUGAGAAUUACGGCCUGCUGCUAGAGUGUUUGAUCAGGAUAAAUGAUUUGUUUCUAUAAGAUGCCACGUACAGUCACAAGCUCAGUGAGAAAUGGGCUGUCACCUCUUCAUCUGCAACUCAGUGCUCGACAGGACAUCGGGGCAAAGCCAGUCCGUAAUUUGUUUGUGAUGCAACUGUCCACGUGGGUCAAAUCAUGGUGCCCCUCUUAAACCUCCAAAAAAAACCAAAGUUGAUUUUCUAUUUUGCAACUUGCCAUCUCAACAUAAGUGCAGAAGAGUUAACAUCGUGAAAGAUCAGAGCCCGGAGAAUAGGCUCUCCUGGAUAUUUCAGGCUAAAGGCAACUUUCUUUUACAAAAGGAUCUGAGGAGCAGGAGCAAGGAACGCAGGGAGAGAUUCAGGAAGACAUCUGACUGUGUUAAGAGACGACAGUCACAGCCACACGGGGAGCGAGGACACUUGCAGCAAAGUAAAACGACUUCACAACUAUUGCAUCAGAGCUGCCGGUGUGAGAGAGCCUAAGCCUGUCUCAGAGUGCAGGGGACAAGUGGAAAGGAAUGUGUAAGAAUGCUGGUGACUGAGUUAGAAGCAUGCUUCGAAGCUGUCCAUGUCCUUGCCAUUCAGAAGCGGAGCCUGGGAGCUACCGAAUUUCUCCAGAAUGCGGUUUACAUUCAUCUUCGACAGCAUUCCUAGGAGAGAAUUCAGCAGUGCAGCAUCCUCUCCGAGCUCUAUGAGUUGAUCGGCUUCCACCGCAAGUCCGCCUUCUUCAAGCGGGUGGCCCCCGUGCAGCGCGCGGCC